CCUACGGGGGGCUGCAGUGGGGAAUAUUGCACAAUGGGCGCAAGCCUGAUGCCGCCAUGCCGCGUGUGUGAAGAAGGCCUUCGGGUUGUAAAGCACUUUCAGCGGGGAGGAAGGCGUUAAGGUUAAUAACCUUGUCGAUUGACGUUACCCGCAGAAGAAGCACCGGCUAACUCCGCGCCAGCAGCCGCGGUAAUACGGAGGGUGCAAGCGUUAAUCGGAAUUACUGGGCGUAAAGCGCACGCAGGCGGUCUGUCAAGUCGGAUGUGAAAUCCCCGGGCUCAACCUGGGAACUGCAUUCGAAACUGGCAGGCUAGAGUCCUGUAGAGGGGGGUAGAAUUCCAGGUGUAGCGGUGAAAUGCGUAGAGAUCUGGAGGAAUACCGGUGGCGAAGGCGGCCCACUGGACAAAGACUGACGCUCAGGUGCGAAAGCGUGGGGAGCAAACAGGAUUAGAUACCCCGGUAGUC
RNAcentral lists this ribosomal RNA (465 nucleotides) under uncultured Klebsiella sp. RNAcentral describes it as "bacterial SSU rRNA". It matches the Rfam family "Bacterial small subunit ribosomal RNA", at positions 338 to 795 of the family's 1533-position model. Lineage: Bacteria; Pseudomonadati; Pseudomonadota; Gammaproteobacteria; Enterobacterales; Enterobacteriaceae. The record is from RNAcentral.